RNAcentral lists this long non-coding RNA (397 nucleotides) under Bos taurus (domestic cattle). Its description in RNAcentral is "long non-coding RNA NONBTAT023715". The record is from RNAcentral. Lineage: Eukaryota; Metazoa; Chordata; Mammalia; Artiodactyla; Bovidae.
UUUUGCUUAUUUUGAAAGAGGACUCUAUACAAUUUCUUCUUGCCACUUGCCAUUAUAUUACAGAAAGUGUUGACAUAACAUGUUGAUCUUUGGAUGGGAUAGUAAACAAGCUGUAAAAAUAAUUACAUGUAGGUAAAAUAAUGUAUAUAGCAAAGAAUAUCAUUUUUAGGUAAAAUAGAUACCAUGGAAUUUGGAAUUUUCUAAAAUAGUCCAAUAACUUUCUUUGGAUAUAGAUUACUUUCUUGCAAAUAAUUCUCAUGCUCUGGCUUAAAAAAAUUAACUUCUCUUAAUUUUGUAUUUUGCAAAAAUUUUAGUGAAAGUAGAUAAAAUUGUCUAUUGUCUAUCCAAAUGUUACAGAUCUAUAUAUUAAUAGAUUAAAAUUUGAGAUCAUUUUCCU